RNAcentral lists this ribosomal RNA (439 nucleotides) under uncultured bacterium. Its description in RNAcentral is "partial 16S ribosomal RNA". It matches the Rfam family "Bacterial small subunit ribosomal RNA", at positions 338 to 795 of the family's 1533-position model. The record is from RNAcentral.
CCUACGGAGGCAGCAGUAGGGAAUAUUGCUCAAUUGGGGAAACCCUGAAGCAGCAACGCCGCGUGGAGGAUGAAGUUUUUAGCAUUGUAAACUCCUUUUUUGAGAGAAGAUAAUGACAGUAUCUCACGACUAAUCACCUGCUAACUCCGUGCCAGCAUCCGCUGUAAUACGGAGGGUGCAAGCGUUACUCGGAAUCAUUGGGCGUAAAGAGUGCGCAAGCGGGCUUGUGAGUCAGAUGUGAAAUCCUGUAGCUUAACUACAGAACUGCAUUUGAAACUAGGAGUCUAGAGUGUGGGAGAGGUAGGUGGAAUUCUUGGUGUAGGGGUAAAAGGCGUAGAUAUCAAGAGGAAUACUCAUUGCGAAGGCGACCUACUGGAACAUUACUGACGCUCAUGCACGAAAGCGUGGGGAGCAAACAGGAUUAGAUACCCCAGUAGUC